ACACGGAGGGCGCAAGCGUUGCCCGGAAUCACUGGGCGUAAAGCGGGUGUAGGCGGUCUAGCAAGUCAGAUGUGAAAGCCCACGGCUCAACCGUGGAAGUGCAUCUGAAACUGCUAGACUUGAGUGCCGGAGAGGGAAGUGGAAUUCCUGGUGUAGGGGUGAAAUCCGUAGAUAUCAGGAGGAACACCGGUGGCGAAGGCGACUUCCUGGACGGCCACUGACGCUGAGACCCGAAAGCGUGGGGAGCAAACAGGAUUAGAAACCCUAGUAGUCC
This 274-nucleotide ribosomal RNA is filed under the name uncultured bacterium. Its description in RNAcentral is "partial 16S ribosomal RNA". It matches the Rfam family "Bacterial small subunit ribosomal RNA", at positions 523 to 796 of the family's 1533-position model. The record is from RNAcentral.